GGGUCAAUGAUGACAUAACCUGUCUCGAAGAGAGAUGAUGACCUCAAAAUCGUGCUCAGUGGGUUUAUGCUGAGGCCC
Molecule: small nucleolar RNA, 78 nt
Organism: Loxodonta africana (African savanna elephant)
Lineage: Eukaryota; Metazoa; Chordata; Mammalia; Proboscidea; Elephantidae
Gene: SNORD115
Rfam family: Small nucleolar RNA SNORD115
About the family: HBII-52 is a member of the C/D class of snoRNAs, which contain the C (UGAUGA) and D (CUGA) box motifs. HBII-52 is encoded in a tandemly repeated array with another C/D snoRNA, HBII-85, in the Prader-Willi syndrome (PWS) region of chromosome 15.
Source: Ensembl